Molecule: long non-coding RNA, 4623 nt
Filed under: Callithrix jacchus (white-tufted-ear marmoset)
Lineage: Eukaryota; Metazoa; Chordata; Mammalia; Primates; Cebidae
Description: lncRNA (ENSCJAG00000085101.1)
Source: RNAcentral
AACUGUCAUUUUAUUACCAUUGUUUUAUUUUUCAUUAUAAACUUAAGUAUUUAUCAAAAAGUUAACAAUUUGGUGAUUAAAAUUAAGAUACUUUUCCUCCACAAGAUUUUGAUCAUUUUUACGUAUUUGAUGUGAAACUGUGCUUCUGUUGCUAGGAGGCCUUCCCUCCUCUACAGGAAUAAUCAAAAUUGGUUUCAAUCAACAUUAGGCCCCUGUGGAAUCACAGGCCCCAAGUGGAUUGCUAGGCCCCAGGUGCACAUCAGGCGCAGGUGUACAAGCAGGCCCUGGGUGGACUUACCUAUGUGCAGGGAAAGAGUUGACCUGGGGGGAGGGUGAGCAGUCAGCAGCCCAGGGUGUUCAGAGUAGAUCUUAUGGAAGAAAGGGGCUGAGGGAACCUUAAGGUUCCCUCAAAGAAGUGACUUCACUUAACCUUAAGUGAACCAUAAAGAAGUGACUUCACUUCCUUGGUGACAGACCCUAACAGAACUUAGAACUGUCACCAGGCACCCACAUCCUAGAGACAGCCCCAUAGCCAGCUCCCAUGGUGGGAGACGCUCAGGAGAGCAAGUUGUUCUCAUGCUGCAUCCCCACAUCUCCAGGCUCCUGCUUGAGGAGGGCCCAGAGUGAGAGCCUUUUCCCACGAUGCGACACAGGCUCAUCCCUCAGCUCAGGCGCCAUUGGCCAAAUCCAAAGGCGCCCCCAGGUCAUCUUGAGCCAAGACACACUCAGUCCAAACUACAGCAGAACAGCGUGGUCCUUCCAGCCUCAAAUCCUAUCCCGACCCACCUUCUGCAGAGCCUGCCUGGAGGGCUGGAGGGAAGGGAAGCCUGAAGGUCUCAGAUCCAGGUGAACUGGGCCAGCCCUGCUUAUGGCUUUGUUUACAGUCCUGCUGGGGCUGGAGAGAUAGGGUGACACAGAGAGGGAAGGGGUUUCUCUCUCACUUCCCCAUCUGUCUGUGUCACUGUGGGAUAAGUACCACUGCUGUCCCAGGAGUUACAGUAAUAGUCAGCCUCAUCUUCCACCUGAGCCCCAGUGAUGGUCAAGGAAGCUGUGUUUUCUGAGCUGGAGCCAGAGAAUCGGUCUGGGAUUCCUGAGGGCCGGUUGUUGUUACCAUAGAUGACCAGCACAGGGGCCUGGCCCGGCUUCUGCUGGUACCAGCUUGGAUAAUAGCUUCUGAGGCUCUCUCCCUGGCAGGUGAUCCUGGCUGUCUGUCCCAAGGCCACAGACACUGCAGGGUCCUGAGUCAGCUCAGAAGAAACCACAGAGCCUGCAAGAGAAGACAGGAGAGGUGUCUGAGGAUGAGGGUCUCAUUCCCAGAGCCUUUCCCCCUGCAUCACUCCCUGUGCUGAGCUAAAGGUCAGGGCUAGGCUCAUCCCUAGUUCUGCAGGGGCUGAGCCCUGGGAGGCAGCACCUGUGCAGAGAGUGAGGAGGGUGAGCAGGGGAGGGGUCCAGGCCAUGGUGGAGACACCCCAGAGCUCUGCCUCUGAGCCCACAGCUAAGGAGGAACCUCCAGUCCUCUCUUAUCAUAGGAAGGGGAGGCUCUUCAUGCAAAUCUACUUCCUUUAUUCUUGUGUCUUGUUAGGUGGCUUUGGUGAGCAGUGGAUGCAAAUCUGUUCUCCAUUCCCUGAAAUAUUUGUCCAGGUUCUUGUCUGAGCCCUAAGCCUGAGGGCUUCUCUGAGCAAUUUCCUAAGGUCAUAAAGGGCCAAGUGUGUUUUCAGAUUUACCCAAUAGAAGAGGCCUCAAAGGAAGCAGCAGUCAUGCCCUUUGCACUUGAGCUUUACCAGAGGACUUGGACUCAUUAGGGGCCUCAGACUAAACCUCACAGUGCCCCCUAGUGCACACAGCGUGAAUGGCAUUUUCUGUACAUCCCUAGGUCACUCAGAAGGGCUGCUUAUUAGCCUAUAAUACAUGCCAGAUGUAAUGGGGAGGGUUUUACAAGAGUUACCUCAAGAAGACUUUUAUAAUAUAGAUAGAAUGAUGGGAGCCCUAUGCUCAAAGCCCAUCUUUAUUAGCGAAUCAUUAUUAGGAGGGUAAAUGUUUUUCCCAAGCCCUCCAGGCAGUAGUGGGUGGAGUCCAGAUUCCAUCCAGAAGAUGCGCCUCAGAGCCUGGCCUUCCAGCCCCGCCCUGCCCCGCCUCCUGCGCCCUGCCCCGCCUCCUCCUUCUCCCUCAUCUAAGGUCUUCGGCAUCUCUCUUGUUUUUCUUUGCUAGAGCUCCUGAAAAUUAUACAAAAGAACUAUGACCUAAAUGGCAGAAACGUAUUUUCUCCCAUUUCUGAGGCUGGAAAAUCCACGAUCGCGGUGUUGGUUGUGUGGUUUCGCCUGAGGCCUCUGCCCGUGGGUGACCUGCAGGUCGCUGCCCCUUGCUGUGUCCUCACAUGAUGUUUCCUCUGCACGCUCGCUGCUGGCGUCUCUUUUCUGUGUGUGCAAAAUUUUUCUUUUAGGAGGCCAGUCAUGUUGGAUAAGAAUCCACCCUAAUGUCUUCAUUUUCACUUAGUCACCUCUUUAAAAAUCCUAUGUGCAGUUUCAGUCACACACUGUGCAUUACAGCUUCAAGGCAUGGAUUUUGGGGGACAUAAUUCAUCCAAUAACCCCUCACCCUAUGGACUCCAAAAAACUCAUGUCUCUCUCACUUGUAAAAACAUUUACCUCAUCCUAGCAGCCCAAAUUCUAAACUAACUCAGCAUCAACUCUAAGACCCAACUCUUAUUUAUAUAUAAUUCAAAUUAAGUGUGAGUGAUUCUCCAGGGUGAUUCAUCCUGAGGGUUUAAAGGAAAACAGCUUUGGGGGUGGUGGUUCAUCUCUAGUCUCCUGUUCUCAUCUGGGUGUCCCGAAAAGUAAACUCCUACUUUAUUAAAACGGAAAUAAAGCAGUGAGUCAACAUCAGCAACAUUUCGAGUUAGAUGUGAAAAAUUCACAUUCUUAAAUAGAGAAUAUAAUAAUUUAAAUGCCAAUAAAAUUGAAUUUUAUAAUCAGUAGCCAUGGGCUAUUUCUGACAGCGUUUGGAAAAGAACCAUAAUUGAUAAGAAAAUAUAACCAAAAAACACAGAAGUUAAAUUGUUUUUAGAGCAGAAUAUGUCUGAAUUGACUAAGAUAAAUCAUACACAGAAAUAAUGUAGCCCAAAGAAAAUUAACCUUUUGUAAGCAUAUUACAUUACUAAAUCCAGUUUCUGCAUUGAGCAUCAACAUUUUGGGGUACAAAUAAAGAAACCUCUCAAUGGUUAUACAAAAGGGUCAUUGUUUCCUACUUCAUGCUUCAGUUUACUUGUGGCUUAAUGGUGCUUUGGCAGCGGGAGAGAAGGAUGUUCCAGAAGAUGUUUCUUUCAUCUAAGAAAGGGAAAAUAUUCCUUUACACAAAAUGAUAAUUUGCAGGAUAACAUAUUUCCACUAUCACAGCCUGUUCUUCUCAUGGCAACUUAGUUGGGGGACUUAACAGUUUAAAAGCUCAAAGUCUCUUCUUUAUCCCAUUUUACAUCCUGAGUUUUACAAUCUGUGUGCUUUAUAAAAUUUUGUAAUACAUUUAAAACUUGAACUUCAUUUAUUCAUUUGCUUAUGCUGUUCAGACACCAGUGACCUUGUGCAUUUUUGGUUUCAGCUACAAGGCUGAUGCUAAGACCUUUUAUCGCAGCCCUUACUGGAUCACUCCCAACUUUUUUUUUUUGAGACGGAGUUUCACUCCUGUUACCCAGGCUGGAGUGCAAUGGCGAGAUCUUGGCUCACCGCAACCUCCGCCUCCUGGGUUCAGGCAAUUCUCCUGCCUCAGCCUCCCGAGCAGCUGGGACUACAGGCAUGCGCCACCAUGCCCAGCUAAUUUUUUGUAUUUUUAGUAGAGACGGGGUUUCACCAUGUUGACCAGGAUGGUCUCGAUCUCUUGACCUCAUGAUCCACCCGCCUCGGCCUCCCAAAGUGCUGGGAUUACAGGCGUGAACCACCGCGCCCGGCCUCACUCCCAACUUGAUGCGAGCUUCCUUGCCCAUUUGCUGCUCCCUCUCCCUCUAACUUUCCACCUGGGAGGAGUCUCUAUUCCUGAUCUACUAAAGCUCUCACAAAACUGAAAGCAAAGGGAUGAAGAUGAAAGUCAUAAGCCUGUGACACACGGCUGUCUUGAGCAGACACAAGAUCCUAUCAAAUAGAUGGGACAAGUAUGUUCUUAUCCAAAGAAAAAUCUCAGGCCACUACAGGAGGUGAAAUACAGUGACCCUCACAAGGAGAUCUCCACCCAGAACACACGCUGGUGCAAUUUUCAAACUUCAAAUGACCCUACAAACCAGGGACCAUUAAACCACAUCCUGUGGGACAGGCCUGGACUGGCACCUUUUUAAAAAUGGCUCAGAAGUGACACUGGUUUUUAUAUUACUUAAUGAUUAUAUUGCACAUGGUGCUGUCAGUACCCACAUGUUAUCCCCAAAGUUGACUUAUGUGUGGCAAAGACUAAAAUACUUAUCUAGACAUUUAAGGAAAACUUUACCAAAUCCGAAAAAGGAAUGGGUGCUGAAAUAUUUGAGCAAAGGCUCAACCUCAAGCAAACAGGAGAAAUCAAAAAUCAAAGUGUAACAAGAUAACUUUUUAUAUCUGAUAGGUUGGCAAAAAUGUGUACUUCCACCAAUGAAUUCCAAUCAAGAUUAGG